Molecule: ribosomal RNA, 379 nt
Filed under: Clostridioides difficile
Lineage: Bacteria; Bacillati; Bacillota; Clostridia; Peptostreptococcales; Peptostreptococcaceae
Description: bacterial SSU rRNA
Rfam family: Bacterial small subunit ribosomal RNA
Source: RNAcentral
GUGAGCCAGUACAGGAUGGACCCGCGUCUGAUUAGCUAGUUGGUAAGGUAACGGCUUACCAAGGCGACGAUCAGUAGCCGACCUGAGAGGGUGAUCGGCCACAUUGGAACUGAGACACGGUCCAAACCCCUACGGGAGGCAGCAGUGGGGAAUAUUGCACAAUGGGCGAAAGCCUGAUGCAGCAACGCCGCGUGAGUGAUGAAGGCCUUCGGGUCGUAAAACUCUGUCCUCAAGGAAGAUAAUGACGGUACGUGAGGAGGAAGCCCCGGCUAACUACGUGCCAGCAGCCGCGGUAAUACGUAGGGGGCUAGCGUUAUCCGGAUUUACUGGGCGUAAAGGGUGCGUAGGCGGUCUUUCAAGUCAGGAGUGAAAGGCUACG